GGCUUGGCUGUAGGGAAUACUCUUGGUGCAGUGUUUGGGAUGACAACUCAAAGGAGAUAGAUAUUGAUGUUUGUCUGUGGGCUUGCAAUACAGAUCAGUAGAUAUGUUUCCAUCCCUCAAUUUCGUUGUAGUGUCAAGAAAUGUGAUCUUAGAGUCAGAGAUUUCAUAUGUGAAUUUGAUUGAGGGAUGGACAUCGUUGGCAUGAUGAAUG
Molecule: long non-coding RNA, 211 nt
Filed under: Mytilus galloprovincialis (Mediterranean mussel)
Lineage: Eukaryota; Metazoa; Mollusca; Bivalvia; Mytilida; Mytilidae
Source: RNAcentral